UCGCUGAUGGAUGGACCCGCGGUGCAUUAGCUAGUUGGUGAGGUAACGGCUCACCAAGGCCACGAUGCAUAGCCGACCUGAGAGGGUGAUCGGCCACAUUGGGACUGAGACACGGCCCAAACUCCUACGGGAGGCAGCAGUAGGGAAUCUUCGGCAAUGGACGAAAGUCUGACCGAGCAACGCCGCGUGAGUGAAGAAGGUUUUCGGAUCGUAAAACUCUGUUGUUAGAGAAGAACAAGGAUGAGAGUAACUGUUCAUCCCUUGACGGUAUCUAACC
RNAcentral lists this ribosomal RNA (277 nucleotides) under Enterococcus faecium. RNAcentral describes it as "partial 16S ribosomal RNA". It matches the Rfam family "Bacterial small subunit ribosomal RNA", at positions 215 to 484 of the family's 1533-position model. The record is from RNAcentral. Lineage: Bacteria; Bacillati; Bacillota; Bacilli; Lactobacillales; Enterococcaceae.